Long non-coding RNA from Lutra lutra (Eurasian river otter), 205 nucleotides. RefSeq lists it as uncharacterized. The transcript has 3 exons. NCBI's taxonomy places the organism in Eukaryota, Metazoa, Chordata, Mammalia, Carnivora, Mustelidae. The record is from RefSeq and is a predicted model, not a curated record.
UCCCUGAGCGCUUUCUGUAGAGUUCUGGAGGACGGGAAUGAAAAUGGCGGCCUCCUGGUCUCUGGCCUGGAGGAGCCGAGAGCUUGGGGCCCCACUCCUCAUUGCGCCCUCAGAGAACAGCACCCAUUUACUCCCGUCUGCCUGACCUCCAGCAGCGCUCCAAGCUCACUGAGCCUGCGACCGGUUCAAGAGAGAAAGAGAGUGC